RNAcentral lists this transfer RNA (66 nucleotides) under Heteronotia binoei (common prickly gecko). RNAcentral describes it as "tRNA-Pro". Lineage: Eukaryota; Metazoa; Chordata; Lepidosauria; Squamata; Gekkonidae. The record is from RNAcentral.
CAAAAAAUAGUUUAGUAAAAAUUCUAGUUUUGGGGGCUAGAGACAAGGUUUUGGCCUUUUUUUUGA